AUUGAACGCUGGCGGCAUGCUUUACACAUGCAAGUCGAACGGUAACAGGCCUUCGGGUGCUGACGAGUGGCGAACGGGUGAGUAAUGCAUCGGAACGUGCCCAAUCGUGGGGGAUAACGUAGCGAAAGUUACGCUAAUACCGCAUAAGCCCUGAGGGGGAAAGUGGGGGACCGCAAGGCCUCACGCGAAUGGAGCGGCCGAUGUCAGAUUAGCUAGUUGGUGGGGUAAAGGCCCACCAAGGCGACGAUCUGUAGCGGGUCUGAGAGGAUGAUCCGCCACACUGGGACUGAGACACGGCCCAGACUCCUACGGGAGGCAGCAGUGGGGGAAUUUUGGACAAUGGGCGCAAGCCUGAUCCAGCCAUGCCGCGUGCGGGACGAAGGCC
This 385-nucleotide ribosomal RNA is filed under the name uncultured bacterium. RNAcentral's name for it is "bacterial SSU rRNA". It matches the Rfam family "Bacterial small subunit ribosomal RNA", at positions 29 to 416 of the family's 1533-position model. The record is from RNAcentral.